RNAcentral lists this long non-coding RNA (90 nucleotides) under Ursus maritimus (polar bear). RNAcentral describes it as "lncRNA (ENSUMAG00000024935.1)". The record is from RNAcentral. Lineage: Eukaryota; Metazoa; Chordata; Mammalia; Carnivora; Ursidae.
GAUGACUAAGAGCUGUGAGGAACAGAGUCCCAGGAGGGGAGGCAGACAGGACUGAGAACGGGGAUGACCCCAUAGCAAUCGCCCAGGACC